CAAGAAGCCGAAAGGCUACUUAAAACCAUCGCGAACUUAUCCAAGUUGCUUCGGCGGCGCGGCUCCCCUCACGGGGGACCGCAGCCCCCCGCCUCUCAGGAGGUAAGGGGCAGCCGCCGGAGGUACGAAACUCUGUAUUAUAGUGGUAUCUCUGAGUAUAAAACAAAUAAGUUA
RNAcentral lists this unclassified non-coding RNA (174 nucleotides) under soil metagenome. Its description in RNAcentral is "partial internal transcribed spacer 1". The record is from RNAcentral.